GCCUUUGUAGUAUAACGUUUAGUACGCUUGGUUCGUAUUCCAAAGGUCCAGGUUCGAGUCCCGGCAAGGGUC
RNAcentral lists this transfer RNA (72 nucleotides) under Stegodyphus mimosarum. It matches the Rfam family "tRNA". Rfam says of the family: Transfer RNA (tRNA) molecules are approximately 80 nucleotides in length. Their secondary structure includes four short double-helical elements and three loops (D, anti-codon, and T loops). Further hydrogen bonds mediate the characteristic L-shaped molecular structure. tRNAs have two regions of fundamental functional importance: the anti-codon, which is responsible for specific mRNA codon recognition, and the 3' end, to which the tRNAs corresponding amino acid is attached (by aminoacyl-tRNA synthetases). tRNAs cope with the degeneracy of the genetic code in two manners: having more than one tRNA (with a specific anti-codon) for a particular amino acid; and 'wobble' base-pairing, i.e. permitting non-standard base-pairing at the 3rd anti-codon position. Lineage: Eukaryota; Metazoa; Arthropoda; Arachnida; Araneae; Eresidae. The record is from Rfam by way of RNAcentral.